GGUUAAGUGACUAAGCGUACAUGGUGGAUGCCUUGGCAGUCAGAGGCGAUGAAGGACGUACUAACCUGCGAUAAGCCGUGAGCAGUCGGUAAGAGACAUUACGACUCACGGAUUUCCGAAUGGGGAAACCCACCUAGCAUAAGCUGGGUAUCGCUGCGUGAAUACAUAGCGUAGCGAGGCGAACCGGGAGAACUGAAACAUCUAAGUACCCCGAGGAAAAGAAAUCAACCGAGAUUCCCUCAGUAGCGGCGAGCGAACGGGGAUUAGCCCUUAAGCAUCUUGGAAGUUAGUGGAACGGUCCUGGAAAGGCCGGCGAUACAGGGUGAUAGCCCCGUACACGAAAACAACCUUGAUGUGAAAUCGAGUAGGGCGGGACACGUGACAUCCUGUCUGAAUAUGGGGGGACCAU
RNAcentral lists this ribosomal RNA (409 nucleotides) under Aeromonas dhakensis. RNAcentral's name for it is "partial 23S ribosomal RNA". It matches the Rfam family "Bacterial large subunit ribosomal RNA", at positions 1 to 456 of the family's 2925-position model. Lineage: Bacteria; Pseudomonadati; Pseudomonadota; Gammaproteobacteria; Aeromonadales; Aeromonadaceae. The record is from RNAcentral.